AAAAAAUCUAUAGUUAUUUUUUUACAUAUAAAUAAAUUUUUAUAGUUUAAUAAAUUUAUUAUAAAUUUAUUUUACAUAUAAAUUUUAGUGUUAAUUUUAUAUUAUUUUAAAAAUAAUUUAUUUAUUAUUUUUAUAGUAAUUAAUAUUAAAUAUUUAAGAAAUUAAGAUUUAGUAAUAUUUAAAUUAAAAACUAAUUUUGUGCCAGCAGUUGCGGUUAAACAAAAUUUAAAGUAAAUUUUAUUAGUAAUAAAUUAAUAAAUUUAAUAAAAUAAUUAAAAAUUAAAUUAUUAAGUGAAAUUUUAAUUUAAUAUAAUUUAUUAUAGAUAUUUAUGAUAAAUUAAUAAAUUUAAUAAAAAACUAGGAUUAGAUACCCUAUUAUUAAAAAAUAAAUUUAAAAACUAAAAUAGUAUUUAAUUAUUUAUUGAAACUUAAAUAAUUUGGCGGUAUUUUAGUUCAUUUAGAGGAAUCUGUUUAAUAAUUGAUAAUCCACGAUUAAAUUUACUUAAUUUUUAUUACUUUGUAUAUCGUUGUUAAAAAAAUAUUUUUAAAAAAAAAUUAAUAUUUAAAUAUUAGUAUAAUAAAUUAAAUCAGAUCAAGAUGCAGGUUAUAAUUAAGAAUAUAAUGGAUUACAAUAAAAUAUAUUUAAAUGAAUAUUAAUUUGAAAUAAUUAAUUGAAAGUGGAUUUAAAUGUAAUUUUAUUUAAUAUAAUAAAAUGAUUAUAAAUUAAAAUAUGUACAUAUUGCCCGUCGCUUUCAUAAAUAAAUUGGAAUAAGUCGUAACAAAGUAGAGGUACUGGAAAGUGUUUCUAGAAAGAA
Molecule: non-coding RNA, 815 nt
Filed under: Perula sp. 1 HFZ-2022c
Lineage: Eukaryota; Metazoa; Arthropoda; Insecta; Lepidoptera; Pyralidae
Source: RNAcentral